RNAcentral lists this ribosomal RNA (426 nucleotides) under uncultured bacterium. Its description in RNAcentral is "partial 16S ribosomal RNA". It matches the Rfam family "Bacterial small subunit ribosomal RNA", at positions 354 to 796 of the family's 1533-position model. The record is from RNAcentral.
GUGAGGAAUUUUCCGCAAUGGGCGAAAGCCUGACGGAGCAAUGCCGCGUGAAGGAUGAAGGCCUAUGGGUUGUAAACUUCUUUUCUCAGAAAAGAAUUAUGACGGUAUCUGAGAAAUAAGCAUCGGCUAACUCUGUGCCAGCAGCCGCGGUAAGACAGAGGAUGCAAGCGUUAUCCGGAAUGAUUGGGCGUAAAGCGUCUGUAGGUUGUUUAAAAAGUAUUCUGUCAAAGAUUAGGGCUUAACCCUAGAUAGGCAGAAUAAACUUUUAAGCUAGAGUUUGGUAGAGGCAGAGGGAAUUCCCGGUGGAGCGGUGAAAUGCGUAGAUAUCGGGAGGAACACCAAAGGCGAAGGCACUCUGCUGGGCCAAUACUAACACUGAGAGACGAAAGCGAGGGGAGCAAAUGGGAUUAGAAACCCUAGUAGUCC